AUUGAUAAUGGUCAUCAUUAUUAGUACUUCUUUUAGAAUGAAAUCACUUUGUCUGGCAGAUAAGUUGGUUGGUUUUCUACAGUGUAACAAUUUCAAAAGGUUGGAAGAUCUUUGCUGUUGCUAAUUUUGCUGACAGUAAUAAGUUGUGCAUAAUGAACCCUACAUGUUAUUCUCUAGACAUCCUUAAUAUCGCUCAACUGUUGAAAUAAUAUCAUUUGUUUCUUGUUGUAGACACAGUGAUUUGUAGCGAGAUUGAGGAUGCUACCUGCAGAUGUUCUAAAGAAAACCUUCAAGAAGUUGGACCAUGAUGUAAAUAUAGAGAAUUUUAUGUGUUCAAGAAAGAAGUUUCAGAUGUGGCGAAGGAAGAAGUUCAAGGUGAUGGUAAUCUACUGAUUUCCAAUCAGGAAUUGAGGAAUCAAUUAAGGGUAUUGCAAGCUCAACUUACAGGAGUACAAAAGAGACUGAGGUGCACCUUAUG
This is a long non-coding RNA of Carya illinoinensis, 478 nucleotides long. RefSeq lists it as uncharacterized. NCBI's taxonomy places the organism in Eukaryota, Viridiplantae, Streptophyta, Magnoliopsida, Fagales, Juglandaceae. The transcript has 4 exons. The record is from RefSeq and is a predicted model, not a curated record.